Molecule: long non-coding RNA, 1428 nt
Organism: Peromyscus eremicus (cactus mouse)
Lineage: Eukaryota; Metazoa; Chordata; Mammalia; Rodentia; Cricetidae
Exons: 2
Source: RefSeq, a predicted model, not a curated record
AGUACAUAGGAUUAAAGCUAUGCAUUAGCUUAGUUGUAAACGCUGAUUUCAUGAGAACUGCAUGGCACAGUAAGUUUGGUUACACUGUUCGCUUAAAGACAGGUUAAACUAACAGAGUGGGUACGCAGUAGGACAGCAAGUUCGUUUCACAGCCUAUUGAUAACUUUGUUGUGAGGUCUGCUUGACAGUUUAGUCUUUUAGGGUUCAAGAGACACUUUCAUGUAAGUGUAUCACUACACUGAACAUAGAAAGAAUCUUUUCAUGAGGCUCUCCCAGGCCCCACCUUUUGUGCUUUUUGUUUAUAGCAUUUCCUGAGUCUUUCAAUCAUUUUCAAGUAAUAUUUAAGUAUACCUUUCCCCUUUGUAGUCACAAGAUGUAUUUCAUUUCUACCUAGUUCUCACCUAAUAUAUCUUCCAGAGCUCACUUAGCAAUUUAAUUUGAUUCUCUUUCUAACAGCACACUGAAGAGAUGUUCACAUUCAAAACCAGCAGGCUCUCUUCCUGUCAAUAUUGAUCUUCAGUGAGAUGAGGAACCACAUAGACCCUGGCCAUACCUUCCUGUCACGCUGUCACUCUGCUCCUGUUGGACCUCUGUGCCUACUCAGAGCCCCUUCACACACCUUCACCUCCUCUUUAAAGGUUGCUUCAGGGUUCGUGGAGUUGUGCCAUCAUCUCUGUUAAUGGGUAGUGCUCUUCCUCCUUCUGGAAAUCUGUGUGGCCCCCUCUCCAUCUCCAGGCCUGUCUCUACCCAGAGAAUGGUUGCUGGAGGAACUCAGAGGAGCCAUACCACUCUGUACCAGACACGCGCACAGCCUGAGUCACCCCUGUUCACUUUCUCACGUGAUAACAGAUAAUCUUCCAAGAAAAACAAAUGUGCCUGCUUGAGGAGGUUACCCUGCAGGGCAGGGUGACGACCAGGGAGACAGAGUCCUAAACUGCAGAAGUCCUAAACAAGAAGCUCCCCGAGAAAAAUGUUCCAGAUAUAGUACCUCUGGGAUAGACAGGAAUCAAGAUUCUUCUGACCUGGGGCAACAUGGGCUCCUGGAGGCAGAGAGGGCAGAUGUCAGUAGACUGAGGAACGGACGGGCAGGUAAGGGUGGGGUCUGUGUGGGUCCCUCAUGCACCCACCUUCUCACUCCUCAUCCUGCAGGAGAAUCACGAAUGCAAACAGGAAAUGUCCUUUGUUCAGUGUGCUAGUGAGAAGAGAACUUCAUCAAAUCACACAGCGUGAAACAGUACGGCACGUGGCUGAGUGACGUGGCAGUCGGUGUGUAGACAGACGGUGAUGGCCUGGAGCCAGUGUGAGAGAUGACUGCUUUCAGGAAUUCUGCAAAGUGGUAAUUAAACCUAGCUAUUACUGAAAAUUAAAUUACAUAAAAAUUUAAUAAAUUACAUUGUAUUAUAGAGGCAAUAAAUAUUCAAAACCACG